RNAcentral lists this ribosomal RNA (429 nucleotides) under Gemmatimonadota bacterium. Its description in RNAcentral is "Gemmatimonadetes bacterium partial 16S ribosomal RNA". It matches the Rfam family "Bacterial small subunit ribosomal RNA", at positions 355 to 776 of the family's 1533-position model. The record is from RNAcentral. Lineage: Bacteria; Pseudomonadati; Gemmatimonadota.
UAGGGAAUCUUCGGCAAUGGACGAAAGUCUGACCGAGCAACGCCGCGGGAGUGAAGAAGGCUUUCGGAUCGUAAAACUCUGUUGUUAGAGAAGAACAAGGACGUUAGUAACUGAACGUCCCCUGACGGUAUCUAACUAGAAAGCCACGGCUAACUACGUGCCAGCAGCCGCGGUAAUACGUAGGUGGCAAGCGUUGUCCGGAUUUAUUGGGCGUAAAGCGAGCGCAGGCGGUUUCUUAAGUCUGAUGUGAAAGCCCCCGGCUCAACCGGGGAGGGUCAUUGGAAACUGGGGUACUUGAGUGCAGAAGAGGAGAGUGGAAUUCCAUGUGUAGCGAUGAACUGCGUAGAUAUAUCGAGGCACACCAGUGGCGAAUGCGGCUCUCUGGUCUGUAACUGUCGCUGCGGCUCGCAAGCGUGGUCAGCAAACAGG